Molecule: ribosomal RNA, 1056 nt
Filed under: Salmonella enterica
Lineage: Bacteria; Pseudomonadati; Pseudomonadota; Gammaproteobacteria; Enterobacterales; Enterobacteriaceae
Also listed under: 1 other name
Description: partial 23S ribosomal RNA
Rfam family: Bacterial large subunit ribosomal RNA
Source: RNAcentral
GGCUUAGAAGCAGCCAUCAUUUAAAGAAAGCGUAAUAGCUCACUGGUCGAGUCGGCCUGCGCGGAAGAUGUAACGGGGCUAAACCAUGCACCGAAGCUGCGGCAGCGACACUCAGGUGUUGUUGGGUAGGGGAGCGUUCUGUAAGCCUGUGAAGGUGUGUCGUGAGGCAUGCUGGAGGUAUCAGAAGUGCGAAUGCUGACAUAAGUAACGAUAAAGCGGGUGAAAAGCCCGCUCGCCGGAAGACCAAGGGUUCCUGUCCAACGUUAAUCGGGGCAGGGUGAGUCGACCCCUAAGGCGAGGCCGAAAGGCGUAGUCGAUGGGAAACGGGUUAAUAUUCCCGUACUUGGUGUUACUGCGAAGGGGGGACGGAGAAGGCUAUGUUGGCCGGGCGACGGUUGUCCCGGUUUAAGCGUGUAGGUGUGUGUUCCAGGUAAAUCCGGUUCACUUUAACACUGAGGCGUGAUGACGAGGCACUACGGUGCUGAAGCAACAAAUGCCCUGCUUCCAGGAAAAGCCUCUAAGCAUCAGGUAACAUCAAAUCGUACCCCAAACCGACACAGGUGGUCAGGUAGAGAAUACCAAGGCGCUUGAGAGAACUCGGGUGAAGGAACUAGGCAAAAUGGUGCCGUAACUUCGGGAGAAGGCACGCUGACACGUAGGUGAAGUGAUUUACUCAUGGAGCUGAAGUCAGUCGAAGAUACCAGCUGGCUGCAACUGUUUAUUAAAAACACAGCACUGUGCAAACACGAAAGUGGACGUAUACGGUGUGACGCCUGCCCGGUGCCGGAAGGUUAAUUGAUGGGGUCAGCGCAAGCGAAGCUCCUGAUCGAAGCCCCGGUAAACGGCGGCCGUAACUAUAACGGUCCUAAGGUAGCGAAAUUCCUUGUCGGGUAAGUUCCGACCUGCACGAAUGGCGUAAUGAUGGCCAGGCUGUCUCCACCCGAGACUCAGUGAAAUUGAACUCGCUGUGAAGAUGCAGUGUACCCGCGGCAAGACGGAAAGACCCCGUGAACCUUUACUAUAGCUUGACACUGAACAUUGAGCCUUGAUGUGUAG